CCCUUAGAUGUUCUGGGCCGCACGCGUGCUACACUGAGUAAUUCAAUGGGUAAGGGAACGCUAGAGCAUUACCUAAUCUUGAAAUUUGCUCGUGAUGGGUAUCGACGGUUGCAAUUUUCCGUCGUGAACGAGGAAUACCUUGUAGGCGCAUGUCAUCAUCAUGCGCCGAAUACGUCCCUGCCCUUUGUACACACCGCCCGUCGCUCCUACCGAUUGAGUGAUCCGGUGAGGCUCUGGGACCUGGACGGAAAGAGCGUUUCGCUUGUUCUGUUUGGGAAACUUGGUCGAACCUUAUCAUUUAGAGGAAGGAGAAGUCGUAACA
This 322-nucleotide ribosomal RNA is filed under the name uncultured eukaryote. Its description in RNAcentral is "partial 18S ribosomal RNA". It matches the Rfam family "Eukaryotic small subunit ribosomal RNA", at positions 1470 to 1796 of the family's 1831-position model. The record is from RNAcentral.